UGGGGAAUAUUGCACAAUGGGCGAAAGCCUGAUGCAGCAACGCCGCGUGAGCGAUGAAGGCCUUCGGGUCGUAAAGCUCUGUCCUCAAGGAAGAUAAUGACGGUACUUGAGGAAGAAGCCCCGGCUAACUACGUGCCAGCAGCCGCGGUAAUACGUAGGGGGCUAGCGUUCUCCGGAUUUACUGGGCGUAAAGGGUGCGUAGGUGGUUUCUUAAGUCAGGGGUGAAAGGCUACGGCUUAACCGUAGUAAGCUCUUGAAACUGGGAAACUUGAGUGCAGGAGAGGAAAGUGGAAUUCCUAGUGGAGCGGUGAAAUGCGUAGAUAUUAGGAGGAACACCAGUGGCGAAGGCGGCUUUCUGGACUGUAACUGACACUGAGGCACGAAAGCGUGGGGAGCAAACA
Molecule: ribosomal RNA, 401 nt
Filed under: uncultured prokaryote
Description: bacterial SSU rRNA
Rfam family: Bacterial small subunit ribosomal RNA
Source: RNAcentral